CACAUUGAAACACCAGUUCUCAUACAAUCACAGAAGUUAAGCAAUGUCGAGCCUGGUCAGUAGCAAGAUGGGGGAUUGCUUGGGAAUACCAGGUGCUGUAAG
RNAcentral lists this ribosomal RNA (102 nucleotides) under Acanthosepion pharaonis. The record is from RNAcentral. Lineage: Eukaryota; Metazoa; Mollusca; Cephalopoda; Sepiida; Sepiidae.